UAAGUUUAAUUGAAAUUUAUAGUGCUAUUUGUGGAAUUUUAGAAAUAUUGUGCUAAUUUUAGAAGAAAAAGUUUUUUUUGUGCUAUUUUUGUCAAUUGCCCAAAAAUAUAUCGAUGUGUUUAGAUAUAGAUAUAACCAAGCCACGUUCUAUUCUGCCAUCAUUUUGGAAAAACUAUUCUGGUGUACCAUCUUUUAUUCUGAGUACCACUCGAGCAUGUGCAAUUACAUCUCUCUCCUUAAUGAAUAACUGAGGGAGAAUUUCAAAAUAAAGAGUAAAUCAUUUAGUAAAAAAGAAAAGAAUAACGACCGUUACCAAAAUCGCGAACCUACUCUCCUGCCGACGUGAUUUUCUCCGACUUCGCCGUCGGCGACUUGAGCUUCGAUUUCGCCGGCGAUUUGAGCUCUAAUUUCACCGGCGAGUUAGCUUCCAAGAUAGCCGUAGCUUCCAAGCCGAUAAUCUGCUCCCAAAGUGAGCUUCCUCUUCAACGGCAAAAGUAAAUCCGAUCUCGUUUUCAUAUGUAGAUUAAUGUGAAUUUCUUGUUGGAGUUAGUUGUUAAUAACAUAAAAUUGUUGUAUUGUUCAUUCUGGGCUGUUGUAUCGUUUUGAAUCAGAGAGUUUAGUGAGUGUUCAAUCGAAAUUUACGAUUUGUGAAACCCAGAAUUGACGAACUGGGACAAAUGGUAAAACUGAGAUAUAAUAGUAUAAGCGGUACAAGUGUUUUAUUGAGAUACAAUAGGACAGGUGGUACAAAUGGUAUUAGUGAGUUAUAAUAUAGGUACAAUUAUUUCUAAAUCUGAAUGAUUACGUAAUUGUGUUUUUAUAAUUUAUUUGUAAUUACAGGAGACGAUGAAGAACAAGCACACAUUCAUACAAUUUGACAAUGGGUAUUAUUCAGAAGAGCAUGAGUGGAUUUCAAACAAUUCUUUAAGUGGUGUAUUGUUGAGCACGUCAAAGGUAACAUACUCUAUGUUAGUAGAAAAGAUAUGCAAGAAGAUUGGAAUAGAUGAAACCUCAAGGAAGGUGAAAUUGAGUUAUAUUCUAUGCACAUCUCAGAGACAGACAUCUAUUGUAGAUGAUGAUGCCUUUUUAAGUUAUCUAACGGUAGUGAAU
This 1110-nucleotide small RNA is filed under the name Arabidopsis thaliana (thale cress). Its description in RNAcentral is "ATSL206080". Lineage: Eukaryota; Viridiplantae; Streptophyta; Magnoliopsida; Brassicales; Brassicaceae. The record is from RNAcentral.